RNAcentral lists this ribosomal RNA (433 nucleotides) under uncultured bacterium. RNAcentral's name for it is "partial 16S ribosomal RNA". It matches the Rfam family "Bacterial small subunit ribosomal RNA", at positions 29 to 507 of the family's 1533-position model. The record is from RNAcentral.
AGCGAACGCUGGCGGCAGGCCUAACACAUGCAAGUCGAACGAACUCUUCGGAGUUAGUGGCGGACGGGUGAGUAACACGUGGGAACGUGCCUUUUGGUUCGGAAUAACUCAGGGAAACUUGUGCUAAUACCGAAUGUGCCCUUCGGGGGAAAGAUUUAUCGCCAUUAGAGCGGCCCGCGUCUGAUUAGCUAGUUGGUGAGGUAACGGCUCACCAAGGCGACGAUCAGUAGCUGGUCUGAGAGGAUGACCAGCCACACUGGGACUGAGACACGGCCCAGACUCCUACGGGAGGCAGCAGUGGGGAAUCUGGCGCAAUGGGCGAAAGCCUGACGCAGCCAUGCCGCGUGAAUGAUGAAGGUCUUAGGAUUGUAAAAUUCUUUCACCGGGGACGAUAAUGACGGUACCCGGAGAAGAAGCCCCGGCUAACUUCGUG